GUAUGGAGCAAGCGUUAUCCGGAUUUACUGGGUGUAAAGGGAGCGCAGGCGGUGCGGCAAGUCUGAUGUGAAAACCCGGGGCUCAACCCCGGGACUGCAUUGGAAACUGUCGGACUAGAGUGCCGGAGAGGUAAGUGGAAUUCCUAGUGUAGCGGUGAAAUGCGUAGAUAUUAGGAAGAACACCAGUGGCGAAGGCGGCUUGCUGGACAGUAACUGACGUUGAGGCUCGAAAGCGUGGGGAGCAA
Molecule: ribosomal RNA, 245 nt
Filed under: uncultured bacterium
Lineage: Bacteria
Description: partial 16S ribosomal RNA
Rfam family: Bacterial small subunit ribosomal RNA
Source: RNAcentral